This 383-nucleotide ribosomal RNA is filed under the name uncultured bacterium. RNAcentral describes it as "bacterial SSU rRNA". It matches the Rfam family "Bacterial small subunit ribosomal RNA", at positions 524 to 898 of the family's 1533-position model. The record is from RNAcentral.
UACAGGGGAUGCAAGUGUUAUCCAGAAUUAUUGGGCGUAAAGGGCCUGCAGGUGGAUCCUUAAGUCUUUUGUUAAAUCUCUGGGCUUAACCCAGAAUAUGCAAGAGAAACUACUUAUCUCGAGUAUGGUAGAGGUAAAGGGAAUUUCCAGUGGAGCGGUGAAAUGCGUAGAUAUUGGAAAGAACACCAAAGGCGAAGGCACUUUACUGGGCCAGUACUGACACUGAGGGGCGAAAGCUAGGGGAGCAAACGGGAUUAGAUACCCCGGUAGUCCUAGCCCUAAACGAUGGAUACUAGAUGUUGAAUAUUUUUAAAAUGAAAAUGUGCAGUGUCUUAGCUAACGCGUUAAGUAUCCCGCCUGGGAAGUAUGCUCGCAAGAGUGAA